AUAUUACUAGGCGGAGGAAAGGAAACUAACAAGGAUUCCCAUAGUAACGGCGAGUGAAGUGGGAAUAGCUCAGACUGAAAAUCUUCGGAGUUGUAGUCUGUCGGGUUGCGAUCCGUAGUUGACGUGGAGAAAAUCUCCUGGAAUGGAGUGCCAUGGAGGGUGACAGCCCCGUUCCUCCAUGUAAUACUACUCAGGAUCCAUCCCCUAAGAGUCGAGUUGUUUGGGACUGCAGCUCAAAGUGGGUGGUAAAUUCCAUCUAAAGCUAAAUACCGGUGGGAGACCGAUAGCGCACAAGUA
Molecule: ribosomal RNA, 297 nt
Filed under: uncultured eukaryote
Lineage: Eukaryota
Description: partial large subunit ribosomal RNA
Rfam family: Eukaryotic large subunit ribosomal RNA
Source: RNAcentral